This 1231-nucleotide ribosomal RNA is filed under the name uncultured bacterium. RNAcentral's name for it is "bacterial SSU rRNA". It matches the Rfam family "Bacterial small subunit ribosomal RNA", at positions 78 to 1328 of the family's 1533-position model. The record is from RNAcentral.
CUUCGGGAAUGGAUUAGUGGUGAACGGGUGAGGAUCACGUGAGAAACCUGCCUUUCAUUUGGGAUAACACCGGGAAACCGGUGCUAAUACUGGAUACUCCGUCUUGGCGGCAUCGCCGAGCCGGGAAAGAUUUUUCGAUGAAAGAUGGUCUCGCGGCCUAUCAGCUAGUUGGUGAGGUAACGGCUCACCAAGGCAACGACGGGUAGCCGGCCUGAGAGGGCGACCGGCCACACUGGGACUGAGACACGGCCCAGACUCCUACGGGAGGCAGCAGUGGGGAAUAUUGGGCAAUGGGCGCAAGCCUGACCCAGCGACGCCGCGUGAGGGAUGAAGGCCUUCGGGUUGUAAACCUCUUUCAGUAGGGAAGAAGCGAAAGUGACGGUACCUAAAGAAGAAGCACCGGCUAACUAUGUGCCAGCAGCCGCGGUAAUACAUAGGGUGCAAGCGUUGUCCGGAAUUAUUGGGCGUAAAGAGCUCGUAGGUCGUUGGUCACGUCGAUUGUGAAAAUCUGAGGCUCAACCUCAGACCUGCAGUCGAUACGGACUAACUAGAGUGUGGUAGGGGAGACUGGAAUUCCUGGUGUAGCGGUGGAAUGCGCAGAUAUCAGGAGGAACACCAAUGGCGAAGGCAGGUCUCUGGGCCAUAACUGACACUGAGGAGCGAAAGCGCGGGGAGCGAACAGGAUUAGAUACCCUGGUAGUCCGCGCCGUAAACGGUGGGCACUAGCUGUGGGUCCCUUCCACGGGAUCCGCGACGCAGCAAACGCAUUAAGUGCCCCGCCUGGGGAGUACGAUCGCAAGAUUAAAACUCAAAGGAAUUGACGGGGCCCCGCACAAGCAGCGGAGCAUGCGGCUUAAUUCGACGCAACGCGAAGAACCUUACCAAGGCUUGACAUAUAGCGAAAAGUGGCAGAGAUGUCAUGUCCGCAAGGGCGCUAUACAGGUGGUGCAUGGUUGUCGUCAGCUCGUGUCGUGAGAUGUUGGGUUAAGUCCCGCAACGAGCGCAACCCUCGUUCUGUGUUACCAGCAUUUAGUUGGGGACUCACAGGAGACUGCCGGGGUCAACUCGGAGGAAGGUGGGGAUGACGUCAAAUCAUCAUGCCCCUUAUGUCUUGGGCUGCACGCAUGCUACAAUGGCCGGUACAAAGUGCUGCGAAAUCGUAAGAUUGAGCGAAUCACAUAAAGCCGGUCUCAGUUCGGAUUGAGGUCUGCAACUCGACCUCAUGAAGUCG